CCCUGCAGAUGAGAUGGGGAAAUAGUUCUGAUGACACCGCGAUGCCAGCCAGCUGUGCAACCCCACGGCAUCCCAUGCUGCCCUCUUUUUCUGAGCAACAUCCAGGCGAACACACCAGUUCUACAGGCUGCUUUAAGCAGGGCGGUAAGAGAACGUGGGCCUGCCAGCCGGUCAAAUGGUGAAACUUUAAACAACCGCUUCCAAAACUGUUUCAGAGGAACAACCAAGACGACUGCGCACUGUAACAGGGAGGAGAGCGAAACGCCGAGAGGGACCGGGCACCAGGAACGCGCAGAGCCCGGGGAAGGAGACCGGGAAGGGCUGCGCUGCCCCGCACCCGCGCUGCCGGCCGUGCCGUACGGGGCCGCGCAGCCCAGCGGGCGGCGGCGCCACCGGCUCGGGCCCGGGGACGCCAACACCGCGGGCCCGCUGCAGCGGCAGCCGUGCCGGCAGAGGAACGAGCACGCCGCUUCCUCCAGCGCCCUCCCAGCCCCGAGCGCGGCCCCAGCUCCCGCGGGAGCGGCCUGACCCCCCGGGGCCGCUACCGGCCGUCAGGCGCCGCUACCGGCCCGCCCCUCUCCGCGCUGAGGGGCUGCGGCGCCCCCCGGGCGGCACCGCUGACCGCGGAACGGACCGCCCGGCCCUCCCGCGGCACGGCCCCGCUUACCGCCGCCAUGGCUCCGCCGGCCCGGAGCGCGGCUGCGCCGCCACGUCCAACCGCCGCGCGGCGGGCGGGGCCAGCACGUCCCGCUUCCCGGCGUGCCCGGCGGGGCCAUGGCGGCGCGGGCCGGCGCGAUUUGCCUCUUCGACGUGGAUGGCACCCUCACCGCGCCGCGACAGGCCAGUCCCGGGGCGUGGGCUGUGCCCGACACUGCCCGCCCGGGGCGCCGGGCCCGGCUCUCCGCCGCUGGGCUCUCCCGGAGCGGUCGAAGAUCACCGCGGAGAUGGCCGCGUUCCUGCAGCGGCUGCGGCAGAAGGUGAAGGUUGGAGUCGUGGGUGGGUCCGAUUUUGAGAAGAUCAAGGAGCAGCUGGGCGAGGACGUGGUUGAAAAAUUUGACUACGUUUUUCCAGAAAAUGGUCUUGUAGCAUACAAAGAUGGGAAAUUCUUGAGCAAGCAGAACAUUCAGGGUCACCUGGGUGAGGACGUACUUCAAGAUCUAAUCAACUACUGCCUGAGUUAUAUUGCGAAGAUUAAACUGCCAAAGAAAAGGGGCACUUUUAUUGAGUUCCGAAACGGGAUGUUAAAUGUGUCCCCCAUUGGAAGAAGCUGCAGCCAGGAAGAACGAAUUGAGUUCUAUGAACUUGAUAAAGUGAGUUUCAACUCUUGAAACAUAUCCAGCUCUUCUGGAGGAGGCAGUUAUGGCCAGAAGGAACGUAUAAGAGAGAAAUUUGUAGCUGAUUUACGAAGAGAAUUUGCAGGAAAAGGCCUCACAUUUUCUAUAGGAGGCCAGAUAAGCUUCGAUGUGUUCCCAGACGGCUGGGAUAAGAGGUACUGCUUGGGGAUUGUUGCCAACGACGGGUACAAGACUAUUUAUUUCUUUGGAGAUAAGACUAUGCCAGGAGGGAAUGACUAUGAAAUUUUCACGGACUCCAGGACAGAAGGCCACAGCGUCACAUCACCCCAGGACACAAGAAGAAUCUGUGAAGAGCUAUUUUUUAAAUAAAAUACUUAGGGAAUUCAUACUUAAGAAACGGUUAAGACACCUUAAUAACUCAAACCAUCUUCCUUCAUUCUGUAUUGUUUUCCAAAAUUGACCAGUCAUUACAGAUGGGAAGCUGCUAUUGAAUAGAUGAACAUUUUAGAGUGGUUUUUUUUUUAAAUACUACCUUAUGCUAUAGAGACAUGAAUUGUAAGACAGUUGGACUUUUCUUGUUUAAAACUGGAAGAUGAGUAAAAGAGGUGGGUUUUAUUUCUUUCUGGGAGUGGGAAGGUAGAACUGAGCCAGCAGUCCUGACCUCACACAUGUUCCAGGAGGUGCAUUGGGUCCAGCACCCCUGGGAAGGCUGGACCAACAGCUGCUCGAGUGACCUCAGCACCGCUGUAAUGCCAAUGCACAGGACGGUUCAUGGUACCUACACUUUCGGCAUACUGUUUCUAAAUCUAAAAAAUAAUUGAAAAAAAUCUAUUAACUUGAGCAUAGUAGCAAAAUUACAUUUCUGAUUUUCCUGCUAAGGCAUUAAGGGUAGAUGAGAUUUUUAGUACCAAGAAAAAUGUUUUGAUUAAAAUUCAAGUUGAAGCACAAUAAUCAGUGUAACAGUUAAUAUUACUUUUCUUAUCUGGCAUUAGGAAAGUAAUCAUGUGUAUGAACAGCUUAUUUUAGCAAAAGAGCAUAAAAUCUCAUUUUAUCUUGAAAAAUUGCUAUUUCAAUUUGUCAUUUUGGCAAAUAAAAUACAUAAAGCAGA
Molecule: RNA transcript, 2403 nt
Organism: Columba livia (rock pigeon)
Lineage: Eukaryota; Metazoa; Chordata; Aves; Columbiformes; Columbidae
Gene: PMM2
Gene name: phosphomannomutase 2
Exons: 8
Source: RefSeq, a predicted model, not a curated record